This is a non-coding RNA of Pelobates cultripes (western spadefoot toad), 580 nucleotides long. The record is from the annotation of a GenBank genome assembly. NCBI's taxonomy places the organism in Eukaryota, Metazoa, Chordata, Amphibia, Anura, Pelobatidae.
UAUAUGAACAGCUAGGAUAUUAAGCAAAAUGGAUAUUCAUAUCCUACAAUUCCUCUCUUUAGAUCAUAUCAUGAUCUACCUUACAGAAUAUCCAUGGGAGGUCUGCGGCAGAGAAACGAAAGGAGGUAUAUUCAGACCUGCUAAUCACGUCUGUGUGACUUUCAUUAUUUCUUCACCUCCAUUUCCCCCAUUUGCUCUAUGCCGUAGGUUUUCCCUUUAAGAGGAGAUCGAGCUGUCGAUUUUCAGCUUCUGUAAUCAUCUGUUGUACACAUCUUUUAAGUGUACAAGUUAAAUAUUUCAAACAGAUGACAUGUUAACCAAUUUUAAACAGACUGCACAUCAUGUUAUCUGUAACUUGAGCCUUGGAUCAAAACAGGCAAAGUGUAUUAUUCCCAACCACGGGAAUAUUAUUAUUAUAAUUCCCAACCACGGGAAUAUUAUUAUUAUAAUUCACAACGUAAACACAUAUAAUCAAAAAUGGGAAUAAAAUCUACUUCCCCUCUUUGGACCAGGAUCUUGGAUUACCAGUCCACCCAGUGAACUUGGGCCAGGUCAAAAAACCCAGUGGCAAAAACUCAAA